Molecule: ribosomal RNA, 477 nt
Filed under: uncultured bacterium
Lineage: Bacteria
Description: partial 16S ribosomal RNA
Rfam family: Bacterial small subunit ribosomal RNA
Source: RNAcentral
GAUUAACGCUGGCGGCGUGCCUAACACAUGCAAGUCGAACGAGGCCACCUAGUCGACUUCUUCGGAAAGACACAAAGCGGGUUAGUGGCGAACGGGUGAGUAACGCGUGAGUAACCUGCCUUACACAAGGGGAUAGCCUUUGGAAACGAAGAAUAUUACCCUAUAAAACCAUACAAGCACAUGCUAGACUGGUAAAAGUGAUAGCGGCGUACGAUGGACUUGCGUCUGAUUGGCUCGUGGGGGAGAUAAAAGCUCACAAAGGCAAGGACCAGUGGCCGGCUUGGGGGAGGAUACGGCAAAAUUGGGAUGGGGACACGGCCCAGACUCCAACGGGAGGAAGCAGGGGGGAAAUUUGCAAAUGGGGGGAAACCCGGAUGAGGCGAGGCCGGGGGAUUAAGAAGGCCUUCGGGUUGUAAAGAUCUUUUGUAUAGGAAGAAAAUGACAGUACUAGAAGAAUAAGAUCCGGCUAACUACGUG